GUCAAAUGGUUGAAAGCUUUUAAAGCGUAGCGAUCUUUAUAUUGAAAAAGAGAUCAUAUGUAGAGCAGGAUGGACAUAUUAAAGUUCAGAGUCUGACUAGCACUUGGAUCCUUUUUGUCAAAGGAAGCCAUUGCAGACAGUGAAUUAUUUUAAUCACUUGUAUUAAAAGUACAUCUUUAUGAGUGGUUGAAAGUUUGAUGAAUGCAUUGUGGUUGUAGAACUAUAGAAAGACUAUUUUGCUAAUAGUGGCCCUAAGAUCAUGUGAUAUCUUAGUAUAGUACGAACCAUUAGUUUCAAAUAUUUCAUCAGUUUUUGGUUCUCUCCACAAAGGCUCAAAAACUAAAACAUUGGAAAUUUGUCAAGCUGUUGCCAGUUGUGGGG
This 381-nucleotide unclassified non-coding RNA is filed under the name Hevea brasiliensis (rubber tree). Lineage: Eukaryota; Viridiplantae; Streptophyta; Magnoliopsida; Malpighiales; Euphorbiaceae. The record is from RNAcentral.